UUGUAAACUUCUUUUAUAAAGGAAUAAAGUCGGGUAUGGAUACCCGUUUGCAUGUACUUUAUGAAUAAGGAUCGGCUAACUCCGUGCCAGCAGCCGCGGUAAUACGGAGGAUCCGAGCGUUAUCCGGAUUUAUUGGGUUUAAAGGGAGCGUAGAUGGAUGUUUAAGUCAGUUGUGAAAGUUUGCGGCUCAACCGUAAAAUUGCAGUUGAUACUGGAUAUCUUGAGUGCAGUUGAGGCAGGCGGAAUUCGUGGUGUAGCGGUGAAAUGCUUAGAUAUCACGAAGAACUCCGAUUGCGAAGGCAGCCUGCUAAGCUGCAACUGACAUUGAGGCUCGAAAGUGUGGGUAUCAAACAGGAUUAGAUACCCUGGUAGUCCACACGGUAAACGAUGAAUACUCGCUGUUUGCGAUAUACAGCAAGCGGCCAAGCGAAAGCGUUAAGUAUUCCACCUGGGGAGUACGCCGGCAACGGUGAAACUCAAAGGAAUUGACGGGGGCCCGCACAAGCGGAGGAACAUGUGGUUUAAUUCGAUGAUACGCGAGGAACCUUACCCGGGCUUAAAUUGCAGAUGAAUUACGGUGAAAGCCGUAAGCCGCAAGGCAUCUGUGAAGGUGCUGCAUGGUUGUCGUCAGCUCGUGCCGUGAGGUGUCGGCUUAAGUGCCAUAACGAGCGCAACCCUUGUUGUCAGUUACUAACAGGUUCCGCUGAGGACUCUGACAAGACUGCCAUCGUAAGAUGUGAGGAAGGUGGA
Molecule: ribosomal RNA, 750 nt
Filed under: uncultured Bacteroides sp.
Lineage: Bacteria; Pseudomonadati; Bacteroidota; Bacteroidia; Bacteroidales; Bacteroidaceae
Description: bacterial SSU rRNA
Rfam family: Bacterial small subunit ribosomal RNA
Source: RNAcentral